RNAcentral lists this transfer RNA (64 nucleotides) under Ceruchus minor. RNAcentral describes it as "tRNA-Phe". The record is from RNAcentral. Lineage: Eukaryota; Metazoa; Arthropoda; Insecta; Coleoptera; Lucanidae.
GUUUAAAUAGCUUAUUUAGAGCGUGAUAUUGAAGAUAUCAAGGUGAUACAAUUAUUUUUAAACA